UACGGGGGGCGCAAGCGUUGUUCGGAUUUACUGGGCGUAAAGGGCGCGUAGGCGGCCAGCACAAGUCAGUUGUGAAAUCUCCGAGCUUAACUCGGAACGGUCAACUGAUACUGUGCGGCUAGAGUGCGGAAGGGGCAACUGGAAUUCUUGGUGUAGCGGUGAAAUGCGUAGAUAUCAAGAGGAACACCUGCGGCGAAGGCGGGUUGCUGGGCCGACACUGACGCUGAGGCGCGAAAGCUAGGGGAGCGAACGGG
Molecule: ribosomal RNA, 254 nt
Filed under: uncultured bacterium
Lineage: Bacteria
Description: partial 16S ribosomal RNA
Rfam family: Bacterial small subunit ribosomal RNA
Source: RNAcentral